This is a long non-coding RNA of Magnolia sinica, 361 nucleotides long. RefSeq lists it as uncharacterized. The transcript has 2 exons. The record is from RefSeq and is a predicted model, not a curated record. Lineage: Eukaryota; Viridiplantae; Streptophyta; Magnoliopsida; Magnoliales; Magnoliaceae.
UAGGUAGUGAUUAGAACUUGGACCUAAUUAUACAAGUUCAUGAUUUGUGGUAGGGUACAAUUCUAAGGGUGCAAGCACUUAGCGACACUAGAAGGCGAUUCAAAGUAUAAGGUAGUACAGGUGGCUUUAGUGAUAUGUAUGUUCAGACUUGAUGAGGAGCAGGGUACGAUUGCCAGGGAUGCAUGACUGUAUUUACCUGGAGGAGCUGCGUGAUCUUGCGGCUUAUAUUUAUAUGCUUUCUAUUAUUUCUCAUGUAUUAGAUCAUGUAAUUCUUGUAUUUGUUAAUUUUGGAGACAUUGGUUUGUAUAAGUCAUUAUGGGCAGCUUCUUGUAAAUUUGAAUGAUAAUGAAAUUUUCCUUUA